This 77-nucleotide transfer RNA is filed under the name Escherichia coli. Its description in RNAcentral is "tRNA-Met". It matches the Rfam family "tRNA". Rfam says of the family: Transfer RNA (tRNA) molecules are approximately 80 nucleotides in length. Their secondary structure includes four short double-helical elements and three loops (D, anti-codon, and T loops). Further hydrogen bonds mediate the characteristic L-shaped molecular structure. tRNAs have two regions of fundamental functional importance: the anti-codon, which is responsible for specific mRNA codon recognition, and the 3' end, to which the tRNAs corresponding amino acid is attached (by aminoacyl-tRNA synthetases). tRNAs cope with the degeneracy of the genetic code in two manners: having more than one tRNA (with a specific anti-codon) for a particular amino acid; and 'wobble' base-pairing, i.e. permitting non-standard base-pairing at the 3rd anti-codon position. RNAcentral also lists the same sequence under 22 other names. Lineage: Bacteria; Pseudomonadati; Pseudomonadota; Gammaproteobacteria; Enterobacterales; Enterobacteriaceae. The record is from RNAcentral.
CGCGGGGUGGAGCAGCUUGGUAGCUCGUCGGGCUCAUAACCCGAAGGUCGUCGGUUCAAAUCCGACCCCCGCAACCA